RNAcentral lists this ribosomal RNA (253 nucleotides) under uncultured bacterium. RNAcentral describes it as "partial 16S ribosomal RNA". It matches the Rfam family "Bacterial small subunit ribosomal RNA", at positions 524 to 776 of the family's 1533-position model. The record is from RNAcentral.
GACAGAGGGUGCAAACGUUGCUCGGAAUCACUGGGCGUAAAGCGUGUGUAGGCGGAACGUUAAGUGCCUUGUGAAAUCCCACGGCUCAACCGUGGAACUGCUGGGCAUACUGGCGUUCUUGAGCCAGCCAGGGGUCGUCGGAACAAACGGUGGAGCGGUGAAAUGCGUAGAUAUCGUUUGGAACGCCAAAGGCGAAAGCAGACGACUGGGGCUGAGCUGAUGCUGAGACACGAAAGCCAGGGGAGCAAACGGG